This 957-nucleotide ribosomal RNA is filed under the name Cortinarius betuletorum. Its description in RNAcentral is "LSU rRNA". It matches the Rfam family "Eukaryotic large subunit ribosomal RNA", at positions 45 to 979 of the family's 3401-position model. The record is from RNAcentral. Lineage: Eukaryota; Fungi; Basidiomycota; Agaricomycetes; Agaricales; Cortinariaceae.
AAUAAGCGGAGGAAAAGAAACUAACAAGGAUUCCCCUAGUAACUGCGAGUGAAGCGGGAAAAGCUCAAAUUUAAAAUCUGACAGUCAUCUGGCUGUCCGAGUUGUAAUCUAGAGAAGUGCUAUCCGCGCUGGACCGUGUACAAGUCUCCUGGAAUGGAGCAUCAUAGAGGGUGAGAAUCCCGUCUUUGACAUGGACUGCCAGGGCUUUUGUGAUGCGCUCUCAAAGAGUCGAGUUGUUUGGGAAUGCAGCUCAAAAUGGGUGGUAAAUUCCAUCUAAAGCUAAAUAUUGGCGAGAGACCGAUAGCGAACAAGUACCGUGAGGGAAAGAUGAAAAGAACUUUGGAAAGAGAGUUAAACAGUACGUGAAAUUGCUGAAAGGGAAACGCUUGAAGUCAGUCGCGUCGUCCAGGGAUCAACCUCGCUUUUGCUUGGUGCACUUUCUGGUUUGACGGGUCAGCAUCAAUUUUGACUAUUGGAAAAAGGUCAAGGGAAUGUGGCAUCCUUGGAUGUGUUUAUAGCCCUUGGUCGCAUACAAUGGUUUGGGAUUGAGGAACUCAGCACGCCGCAAGGCCGGGUGUUUACACCACGUACGUGCUUAGGAUGCUGACAUAUAAUGGCUUUAAUCGACCCGUCUUGAAACACGGACCAAGGAGUCUAACAUGCCUGCGAGUGUUUGGGUGGAAAACCCGAGCGCGUAAUGAAAGUGAAAAGUUGAGAUCCCUGUCGUGGGGAGCAUCGACGCCCGGACCAGACCUUUUGUGACGGUUCCGCGGUGGAGCAUGUAUGUUGGGACCCGAAAGAUGGUGAACUAUGCCUGAAUAGGGUGAAUCCAGAGGAAACUCUGGUGGAGGCUCGUAGCGAUUCUGACGUGCAAAUCGAUCGUCAAAUUUGGGUAUAGGGGCGAAAGACUAAUCGAACCAUCUAGUAGCUGGUUCCUGCCGAAGUUUCCCUCAGGAA